GAGCGAACGGAUGAGAAGCUUGCUUCUCUGAUGUUAGCGGCGGACGGGUGAGUAACACGUGGAUAACCUACCUAUAAGACUGGGAUAACUUCGGGAAACCGGAGCUAAUACCGGAUAAUAUUUUGAACCGCAUGGUUCAAAAGUGAAAGACGGUCUUGCUGUCACUUAUAGAUGGAUCCGCGCUGCAUUAGCUAGUUGGUAAGGUAACGGCUUACCAAGGCAACGAUGCAUAGCCGACCUGAGAGGGUGAUCGGCCACACUGGAACUGAGACACGGUCCAGACUCCUACGGGAGGCAGCAGUAGGGAAUCUUCCGCAAUGGGCGAAAGCCUGACGGAGCAACGCCGCGUGAGUGAUGAAGGUCUUCGGAUCGUAAAACUCUGUUAUUAGGGAAGAACAUAUGUGUAAGUAACUGUGCACAUCUUGACGGUACCUAAUCAGAAAGCCACGGCUAACUACGUGCCAGCAGCCGCGGUAAUACGUAGGUGGCAAGCGUUAUCCGGAAUUAUUGGGCGUAAAGCGCGCGUAGGCGGUUUUUUAAGUCUGAUGUGAAAGCCCACGGCUCAACCGUGGAGGGUCAUUGGAAACUGGAAAACUUGAGUGCAGAAGAGGAAAGUGGAAUUCCAUGUGUAGCGGUGAAAUGCGCAGAGAUAUGGAGGAACACCAGUGGCGAAG
Molecule: ribosomal RNA, 674 nt
Filed under: uncultured Staphylococcus sp.
Lineage: Bacteria; Bacillati; Bacillota; Bacilli; Caryophanales; Staphylococcaceae
Description: bacterial SSU rRNA
Rfam family: Bacterial small subunit ribosomal RNA
Source: RNAcentral